GAGCGUUGAGAGCUGCUGAAAACCGCAUCCCGACCGGACGUUUCCCAUCUCAGAGAAUUCAGCACUGAGAUGGGUUUAAGUCAGUGGCACAAACAUCAAACAUGAGUUGCAGGACUGCGACCACAGCAGCGUUAUAAAGACUACCUGACGUGCUGCUGAAACCUGACAGAGGGGGAGGGGGGGGUGACGAGGGCCCCCAACCCCACCCUGCGCUCGCAUGUUCCAGAGCAGGUGAGAAGCAUUACCAGAGGCAGCAGCUGGACCUCUGCUGCACACAUGUGCGCCAGGAUGUGGGCCGGAGCCAGAGCUCGCCACACUCACAACUGGUCAGUAUUGUUAACACUCUGGUUUUUGACCACAAAGAACAGCACUUAAAAAGCUGAAAC
Long non-coding RNA from Cololabis saira (Pacific saury), 386 nucleotides. RefSeq lists it as uncharacterized. The record is from RefSeq and is a predicted model, not a curated record. Lineage: Eukaryota; Metazoa; Chordata; Actinopteri; Beloniformes; Belonidae. The transcript has 3 exons.